GCGGCGGGCUCCAGACUAUAUUAAGACGGGUAUGAUGACCUCUGGGAUGAUUGGAGUCUGGAGCUUUGGGAUACCCGUCGGUCGUGGGUUCAAAUCCCACCGGCCCCA
RNAcentral lists this transfer RNA (108 nucleotides) under Candidatus Geothermarchaeota archaeon. RNAcentral's name for it is "tRNA-OTHER". The record is from RNAcentral. Lineage: Archaea; Thermoproteati; Candidatus Geothermarchaeota.